UUUGCUUUUGUUUCUGCAGGAGCGCCUCUCCCAAGCAGUGGGGGCCUGAGGGCUUGAGGGAGGCUGGGGAAACCAGCAGGGAGCACUUGGCUCCUGCCAGAGGGAGAGGACAGGAGGAGGAGCCUUCCCCAGGAGGAGCGAGGAGAGGUGGCUGCGUGGCAGGCCACAGUGCCCUAUGGGCGUUUCUGUUUGAACCCCAUGUGGGAUGAAUCUCAAAGCCACCAGCGUUCUGGCCUAGUGUCCAGAGCAGCAGAGAUUUGCAGCCCUCGCCCCUCCCUGAGAAGAAGCUGGAUUUGAAAACCCCUGACAGGCCCUAACAUGUUUCCUGGGUGGGCAGAGGCCUCAUGACCAAGCAGCAAGUGUACCCAGAGUAGAAGCCCUUCCCCACUCCCACCUCAAGCCCAGGAGCAGAACUCAGUGUCCAGAGCUUGCAAGGGUUUGCCGAGGGCUGCCUAGCCCUGUUUCUGGUUUCCUGGACAAUUUCUCUGUCAGAUACGGCCCAUUGUAAACCCAGAGGGCUGCAUUUUGGGUUGAGUAAUACGGACACCGGGGAAGUAGAGAAUGAGUCCAGCAUUGCCGUGGGGGAGGGAAGAGUAUGUCCUGGCAGGAAGCCACCAUUGGAGAAGGUGAGGCCAGUAACCGUCUCAUGGGAUUUGCAAUCAUCAGCCUAUUUGAGCUGCUGGGUCUCUGUUACUGUGGACUCCAGUCAUUCAAGGAGUUCUCCACUGUUGGGUUUUUUUCUUUUCUUUUCUUUUGCUAUUUUGCCUGAACACCCCAACACUCUUGGUUUUAGAGUCCAAGAGUAAGUUGCGCAGAGACAUGGUUCUAAUUUGGAGUUCAAAGGAACACCAGCUCUGAAAAGGUGACCAUGGGGCCAGGAUGUUUCUGGCAGGCUCAGAAGUGCUGGCUGCUCUUCCCCAGCCUCCCCACUGCUCCCUCCUCUGUUCCCCAUGUGGAGGUGGGGGGUGCUGGGACUGGGGAGGGGGCAGUCACCUCCAUCCAAGGCUCUUCCUAGGGGCCCUGCUAUUGUGGACAGCAGACUUUAUCCCUCCUUCUUACUCUGGGCCAAGACCUCCCACUCCACACUCUGAGGAUGGUACCAAGAAUGGGCCUUUGGGACUUCUCAGGACAUUGACAAUGUGCACACUGCAAGUUGACUUAAUUUAUUUAUUUUGUGAAAAGAAGAGACAGAAAAUACCUUAUUAUCUGCAGGGACUCAAAGCUGUACCCAGAUCAAGAAAGAAAAUAACAAUAGAAACCAUUCACACACUCUGUUCAUGCACGGACACCAGAAGAUGAUUCAGAACACCAGAGGAGAAUAAGCCGGAGCGCCAGCACCACGAUGGCCCUGGGACGUUGUUUAAGAUCUGAGAUCCCUUGGUUUCUCUCAUGUUUAUCUGAGAUGCCACAUCAGGGCCCUUGCUGCUAUAUUACCUCUGCCCGGGUGUUUGAGACCGGUCACAAGUGCCUGGGUGUUUCCUGGAAAUGUAUUCCCCUGGGACUCAGUGAUGCUCUGGGAACCGUUGGGGUUUGGGGAAGGACAAUGUGGUGUGACUAUUGGCUUGACACUUUGUGGAUGUGGUUGGAGUCACCCACGUGGACACGAUUUUCACCUUGGAGCUGGGAUGGAGAAGAUGGAAGCGCUGGGGGCCGGGCCUCCUUUUCCAGCAAGGCUGGCCCUGGUUUCUCCUCUGUUCCAGCUUGUCUGCCAGAAGCCUUCCCCUGUAAAGUGCCCACCUGCCUGGAGACAGGGGGAGCAGCUGAGGCCUCUCUCUACUGGCCGCCAGCCUCCCCAGCACAAGAGGACUAUUCAGCAAUGAGUGUUGAUACUCAUGUUCUUUCUUAUUGAUGAGUUCUGCAGCCCAGCCUAUAGAAAUGGCUCAGAACAUUCCAGGCCUUGGUGAGACAGGGCAGCAUCCAGCGCUCACAGGCUGUCCCCGCUCUGCCUGUUCCCAUCUUCCCCUUGGGGCCUGUUCAUAAAUUGAGGAAUGGAUAAGGGCCCUGGAGGGUCCUUGGGAGUAAUUAGUGGAGGGCAGGAUUCCCAGGUCCCCAUAGAGAGGGAAGGAGAAGCCCACAUGUGCACAGAAGCCCGUCUCUGUCACACACACACCGCAGGUGGUCACCGAUUUAUUUUCCAAAAGCUUAGAAACAUAAAGCAAAUUUAGGCUUUUGUCCCUCUGCGAUACAUGCACUUGAAAAUAAACAGAAAAAAGAUGUUUAAUAACAAGUUUACUUCCUGUCUGCUAGCACCCUCAGCCUGGGAGGUACUGCCAGAGGCUGGCGUAGGGGAGCAGCUGCUGACCAAACCCCACAGAACGGAGGCACCAGGCAUCACACGACAUCUUUCCCUCCCAUCUCGGUCAUCUGUCUGUCUGGCAAUGGAAGGAGCUCCAGCAGGAGGUCCUUCCCAGAAGGUUGAUUCUUGGCCUGGGUGGUAGAGGAGAUAUCCUGACCCUAAAGUCUUCCAGCCCCAGGUCGUCCUCUCCUAUGCUGGGGUCUAUUGACCGUAUAGGCCAGGUGCGGUGGCUCAGGCCUGUAAUCCCAACAUUUGGGGAGGCCAAGGUGGGAGGAUUACUUGAGCCCAGGAGUUGGAGACCAGCCUGGGCAACAUGGUGAGACCAAUUGACUGUAGGGCUUGUCACUUGCUAGAAUAGGAGCAGAAGACUGAAUAGCUGUGUCCUCAAGGCAGUCCCCUCCCACCCCCAUUCCCAAAGUUAAAGCGAAGCCAGAUCUCAAGGGCUGAUACCUGAGGCAAGGAGAGCUAAGGGGAGAGAAAGCGGGGUGGGGUGGGAGCAGACACCUUCACAAACCAAGUGUGUCUUACUGAUCUGUACAAGCUGAUAGAAGGACCAUCUGCUGAAAUCCAGGGCUCCUGAGUUGGUGGGUUUGCUUGUGAAGCUUCUAGGACAAGGCACAGCCAGAUGGAAGGGAGAGGAUCCAGGACUUCCUAAAUGCAGCCGCAUCACCUCAACUCGCUGCAGUUUCAGAGACAGUGGAAGCUGCUCUUUACCUCAAAAGCACAAAGCAGAAUUGGCAACUUCACAUGUCUCAAGAGCUUCAAGAUCCUUUGGUCUCAUGUCCUUUGGCACCCCACAACUGUAUGGGGGACAAAUUUGUUACAUGUUUCCAAGGCUACAGACAUGGUGCCAUCCUUACGGGCCUAGCUCAUGUGAGGUACUUUGUGGAUCAGGUACUUUGCUGGAUCAGGUAAUUUGUGGAUCAGGUACUUUGCUGGGGGGAUACAAUGACCCAGGUGGUCUGCGUCCUCUGCCAUUGGUUUGAACAGGGCACCCCCUGAAGUCUCCAUCUCGGCUGUAUAGUCUAGUCCAAAUUUGCCUGGCUCCCCCGCUCCCUCCCAAGUCCUGCACACUGUCUUUUUGCCAACACCUCAGCCCUGUGUGCUAUUUCAUGUCUGCAUGGUACGAGACACCGCUUCACGGCAUACACUGCCACGGUAUGUACAUAUGCAUCCACGUGUGUGUAUGUGUAGCAUGUAGCUCAUUCUGCUCAGCCUCUGGUGCCGUUCCACAUUGCUCCCAGCCCCACUGCUGUCACUGUCGUCCCAGAUGUCCUUGCCAUGGCCACAGACAAUCUGCCGUCUCCUGGAAACGCUGGGGCUGCCCUUCAGAGAGCUGGCAGCCACUGGCAGUCAGGGCCUGCUUUGCAGAAUAGAAUGUGAACCCAUCUCCUGAUGGCCUACUUGACUUAUUUAAUUAAAGAUGAAAACAUGCAACGAGCAAAA
Non-coding RNA from Chlorocebus sabaeus (green monkey), 3742 nucleotides. NCBI's taxonomy places the organism in Eukaryota, Metazoa, Chordata, Mammalia, Primates, Cercopithecidae. The record is from RefSeq and is a predicted model, not a curated record.